AGGAAGCGAGAAGUCGACGCGCCGCCCCCCGCAAGGGGGGAGAGGCGUCCGGCCCUCCGCGAGCGCCCGCGGGGGUUCGGGUUCCGGACCCGGUCCGAUCCCGUUCCCACCGCGGGGCUGUCCGCGAUCAUGGAGGUGUCCUCGGACGGCGUCGAAGCCCUCGAAAACUUCUCCGGUCCGCGACGCUACGGCUUGGAUGGUCCACCCGACCCGUCUUGAAACACGGACCAAGGAGUCUAACAUGCGCGCGAGUCGUUGGGUCGGACACGCUCCGCUAAACCCAUAGGCGCAAUGAAAGUGAAGGCCGCCGUCGGGGCGGCCGAGGGAGGACGGGGCCGAUUCGGGCGCUCCGGCGCCCGACGGUCCCCGCACCCCCGGGGCGUCUGAUCCCUCAUCGCGAGGGGAGGCGCACCCAGAGCGCACACGUUGGGACCCGAAAGAUGGUGAACUAUGCCUGGCCAGGACGAAGUCAGGGGAAACCCUGAUGGAGGUCCGUAGCGAUUCUGACGUGCAAAUCGAUCGUCGGAGCUGGGUAUAGGGGCGAAAGACUAAUCGAACCAUCUAGUAGCUGGUUCCCUCCGAAGUUUCCCUCAGGAUAGCUUGCGCUCGGAGGAGAGUCUCAUCCGGUAAAGCGAAUGAUUAGAGGCCUUGGGGCCGAAACGGCUUCAACCUAUUCUCAAACUUUAAAUGGGUGAGAACUCCGGCUUGCUCGACCGAUCGAAGCCGGAGACGGGGUCCCCCCCUUCGGGGGGAGGCCCCCGGGAUCGGAGUGCAUAGUGGGCCACUUUUGGUAAGCAGAACUGGCGCUGUGGGAUGAACCAAACGACGGGUUAAGGCGCCCGAAUCGACGCUCAUGGGAAACCAUGAAAGGUGUUGGUUGCUUAAGACAGCAGGACGGUGGCCAUGGAAGUCGGAAUCCGCUAAGGAGUGUGUAAUAACUCACCUGCCGAAGCAACUAGCCCUGAAAAUGGAUGGCGCUGAAGCGUCGUGCCUAUACCCGGCCGUCGCGGCAGGGCGGACCCGGCCUCGCGUCGGGUGCCGCUUGAUGCGGCGACGAGUAGGAGGGUCGCGGCGGCGCGCGCAGAAGGGUCUGGGCUCGAGCCUGCCUGGAGCCGCCGCCGGUGCAGAUCUUGGUGGUAGUAGCAAAUACUCCAGCGAGGCCCUGGAGGACUGAUGUGGAGAAGGGUUUCGUGUGAACAGCCGUUGCACACGAGUCAGUCGAUCCUAAGCCCUAGGAGAAAUCCGACGCCAACGGCGACGGGAAAAAUUUUUCAUUCAAAGAAACCCGUUGAUCGGGCGAAAGGGAAUCCGGUUCCUAUUCCGGAACCCGGCAGCGGAACCGCUGUUUGUCGGGCCCUCACAAGGGGUUCGUCAGGGUAACCUAAAAGGGCCCGGAGACGCCGUCGGGAGCCCCGGAAAGAGUUUUCUUUUCUGCAUGAGCGUUCGAGUUCCCUG
RNAcentral lists this ribosomal RNA (1455 nucleotides) under Amphipteryx agrioides. Its description in RNAcentral is "eukaryotic LSU rRNA". It matches the Rfam family "Eukaryotic large subunit ribosomal RNA", at positions 1 to 1722 of the family's 3401-position model. Lineage: Eukaryota; Metazoa; Arthropoda; Insecta; Odonata; Amphipterygidae. The record is from RNAcentral.